RNAcentral lists this ribosomal RNA (468 nucleotides) under uncultured bacterium. Its description in RNAcentral is "partial 16S ribosomal RNA". It matches the Rfam family "Bacterial small subunit ribosomal RNA", at positions 28 to 507 of the family's 1533-position model. The record is from RNAcentral.
GACGAACGCUGGCGGCGUGCUUAACACAUGCAAGUCGAACGGAAAGGCCCUGCUUUUGUGGGGUGCUCGAGUGGCGAACGGGUGAGUAACACGUGAGUAACCUGCCCUUGACUUUGGGAUAACUUCAGGAAACUGGGGCUAAUACCGGAUAGGAGCUCCUGCUGCAUGGGGGGGUUUGGAAAGUUACGGCGGUUGGGGAUGGACUCGCGGCUUAUCAGCUUGUUGGUGGGGUAGUGGCUUACCAAGGCUUUGACGGGUAGCCGGCCUGAGAGGGUGACCGGCCACAUUGGGACUGAGAUACGGCCCAGACUCCUACGGGAGGCAGCAGUGGGGAAUAUUGCACAAUGGGCGGAAGCCUGAUGCAGCAACGCCGCGUGCGGGACGACGGCCUUCGGGUUGUAAACCGCUUUCGCCUGUGACGAAGCGUGAGUGACGGUAAUGGGUAAAGAAGCACCGGCUAACUACGUG